AGAGUUUGAUCCUGGCUCAGAAUCAACGCUGGCGGCGUGCCUCAGACAUGCAAGUCGAACGCGAAAGUUCCCUUCGGGGAGCAAGUAGAGUGGCGCACGGGUGAGUAACACGUAGGUAAUCUACCUUCGGAUUGGGAAUAACAACCGGAAACGGUUGCUAAUACCGAAUAAUGCAGCGGCACCUAAUGGUGACAGUUGUUAAAGCGGGGGAUCGCAAGACCUCGCGUCUGAAGAGGAGCCUGCGGCGAAUUAGCUAGUUGGUAAGGUAAUGGCUUACCAAGGCGAUGAUCCGUAGCCGGCCUGAGAGGGCGGUCGGCCACACUGACACUGACAUACGGGUCAGACUCCUACGGGAGGCAGCAGUCGAGAAUUUUGGGCAAUGGGCGAAAGCCUGACCCAGCAACGCCGCGUGAAGGAUGAAAUCCCUCGGGAUGUAAACUUCGCAAGAACGGGAAGAAUAAGUAGGAGCUAACACCUCUUACGAUGACGGUACUGUUUGU
Molecule: ribosomal RNA, 500 nt
Filed under: uncultured bacterium
Lineage: Bacteria
Description: bacterial SSU rRNA
Rfam family: Bacterial small subunit ribosomal RNA
Source: RNAcentral